RNAcentral lists this ribosomal RNA (440 nucleotides) under uncultured bacterium. RNAcentral's name for it is "partial 16S ribosomal RNA". It matches the Rfam family "Bacterial small subunit ribosomal RNA", at positions 338 to 795 of the family's 1533-position model. The record is from RNAcentral.
CCUACGGGAGGCAGCAGUAGGGAAUAUUGCACAAUGGGGGAAACCCUGAUGCAGCGACGCCGCGUGAGUGAAGAAGUAUUUCGGUAUGUAAAGCCCUAUCAGCAGGGAAGAUAAUGACGGUACCUGAUUAAGAAGCCCCGGCUAACUCCGUGCCAGCAGCCGCGGUAAUACGUAGGGGGCAAGCGUUACCCGGAUUUACUGGGUGUAAAGGGAGCGUAGACGGGAGCACAAGUCUGGAGUGAAAUGCCAUGGCUUAACCACGGAACUGCGUUGGAAACUGUGCAGCUAGAGUGCAGGAGAGGUAAGUGGAAUUCCUAGUGUAGCGGUGAAAUCCGUAGAGAUUAGGAGGAAUACCAGUGGCGAAGGCGGCUUACUGGACUGUAACUGACGUUGAUGCUCGAAAGCGUGGGGAGCAAACAGGAUUAGAUACCCCUGUAGUC